RNAcentral lists this ribosomal RNA (497 nucleotides) under uncultured bacterium. RNAcentral's name for it is "partial 16S ribosomal RNA". It matches the Rfam family "Bacterial small subunit ribosomal RNA", at positions 28 to 507 of the family's 1533-position model. The record is from RNAcentral.
GAUGAACGCUGGCGGCGUGCCUAAUACAUGCAAGUCGAGCGAACAGACGAGGAGCUUGCUCCUCUGACGUUAGCGGCGGACGGGUGAGUAACACGUGGAUAACCUACCUAUAAGACUGGGAUAACUUCGGGAAACCGGAGCUAAUACCGGAUAAUAUAUUGAACCGCAUGGUUCAAUAGUGAAAGACGGUUUUGCUGUCACUUAUAGAUGGAUCCGCGCCGCAUUAGCUAGUUGGUAAGGUAACGGCUUACCAAGGCAACGAUGCGUAGCCGACCUGAGAGGGUGAUCGGCCACACUGGAACUGAGACACGGUCCAGGCUCCUACGGGAGGCAGCAGUAGGGAAUCUUCCGCAAUGGGCGGAAGCCUGACGGAGCAACGCCGCGUGAGUGAUGAAGGUCUUCGGAUCGUAAAACUCUGUUAUUAGGGAAGAACAAAUGUGUAAGUAACUAUGCACGUCUUGACGGUACCUAAUCAAAAAGCCACGGCUAACUACGUG